UAGAAUGUGGUGUAAAGGAAACACGUGGAAUUUUGAGUUCUUAAAUGUGGGUUCAACUCCUACUGUUCUAG
Transfer RNA from Monodelphis domestica (gray short-tailed opossum), 71 nucleotides. It matches the Rfam family "tRNA". From Rfam's summary of the family: Transfer RNA (tRNA) molecules are approximately 80 nucleotides in length. Their secondary structure includes four short double-helical elements and three loops (D, anti-codon, and T loops). The record is from Rfam. NCBI's taxonomy places the organism in Eukaryota, Metazoa, Chordata, Mammalia, Didelphimorphia, Didelphidae.